Molecule: ribosomal RNA, 464 nt
Filed under: uncultured bacterium
Lineage: Bacteria
Description: partial 16S ribosomal RNA
Rfam family: Bacterial small subunit ribosomal RNA
Source: RNAcentral
CUACGGGACGCUGCAGUGGGGAAUAUUGCGCAAUGGGCGAAAGCCUGACGCAGCAACGCCGUGUGAGGGAUGAAGGCUUUCGGGUCGUAAACCUCUGUCGGAAGGGAAGAACGGGCAUUGGUCUAAUAGGCCUUUGUUUUGACGGUACCUUUAGAGGAAGCACCGGCUAACUCCGUGCCAGCAGCCGCGGUAAUACGGAGGGUGCAAGCGUUAUUCGGAAUUACUGGGCGUAAAGCGCACGUAGGCGGCCUUGUAAGUCAGGGGUGAAAUCCCACGGCUCAACCGUGGAACUGCCUUUGAACUGCAGGGCUUGAAUCCUGGAGAGGGUGGCGGAAUUCCUGGUGUAGGAGUGAAAUCCGUAGAUAUCAGGAGGAACACCGGUGGCGAAGGCGGCCACCUGGACAGGUAUUGACGCUGAGGUGCGAAAGUGUGGGGAGCAAACAGGAUUAGAUACCCUUGUAGUC